AAGCCAAUAGCUUAAGUUGGAAGAGCAUGUGGCUACGGACCACAAUAGUGUGGGUUCAAUUCCCUCUUGGCUUU
Eimeria necatrix is the source of this 74-nucleotide non-coding RNA. NCBI's taxonomy places the organism in Eukaryota, Apicomplexa, Conoidasida, Eucoccidiorida, Eimeriidae. The record is from Rfam.